RNAcentral lists this ribosomal RNA (450 nucleotides) under uncultured bacterium. RNAcentral's name for it is "bacterial SSU rRNA". It matches the Rfam family "Bacterial small subunit ribosomal RNA", at positions 354 to 796 of the family's 1533-position model. The record is from RNAcentral.
GUGGGGAAUAUUGGACAAUGGGCGAAAGCCUGAUCCAGCCAUGCCGCGUGUGUGAAGAAGGUCUUCGGAUUGUAAAGCACUUUAAGUUGGGAGGAAGGGUUGUAGAUUAAUACUCUGCAAUUUUGACGUUACCGACAGAAUAAGCACCGGCUAACUUCGUGCCAGCAGCCGCGGUAAUACGAAGGGUGCAAGCGUUAAUCGGAAUUACUGGGCGUAAAGCGCGCGUAGGUGGUUCGUUAAGUUGGAUGUGAAAGCCCCGGGCUCAACCUGGGAACGGCAUCCAAAACUGGCGAGCUAGAGUACGGUAGAGGGUGGUGGAAUUUCCUGUGUAGCGGUGAAAUGCGUAGAUAUAGGAAGGAACACCAGUGGCGAAGGCGACCACCUGGACUGAUACUGACACUGAGGUGCGAAAGCGUGGGGAGCAAACAGGAUUAGAAACCCCAGUAGUCC